Molecule: non-coding RNA, 374 nt
Organism: Schizosaccharomyces pombe (fission yeast)
Lineage: Eukaryota; Fungi; Ascomycota; Schizosaccharomycetes; Schizosaccharomycetales; Schizosaccharomycetaceae
Source: the annotation of a GenBank genome assembly
AAAUGUUACAAACAGCAGUCAGUAAAACAGAAACUAUUUCAUAAAGAGGUGUCUCGUUCGGACGAGGGGGUACUAAAAUCGAGGGAUUCACUUUAUGAUUUGACAUGGAGUUUGAGGAGAUGGGAAGUAAAACAUCAAGAACAUAGGUUUCGUGCGGGGCAACUUGUUCACGAGUGUUUGGAUCAAAUUCUCUUUUUAUGACAUUGACAAGUACACCCCAAGGAAAUAUAAUACCCCCUAAUUUUAUUUGUAUAAGUCGGCCAGAUUGCAGAUAAGGCAAACAAUUAUCAGGAUGGGUCAUUACCUUUUGAAUUUCUUCCCCAUACUUUUCUAACUGUAAUUUUAAAUCGUGAAACUCCUUGACAGCUGUCUCA